GACGAACGCUGGCGGCGUGCUUAACACAUGCAAGUCGAACGGAAAGGCCCUGCUUUUGUGGGGUGCUCGAGUGGCGAACGGGCGAGUAACACGUGAGUAACCUGCCCUUGACUUUGGGAUAACUUCAGGAAACUGGGGCUAAUACCGGAUAGGAGCUCCUGCUGCAUGGUGGGGGUUGGAAAGUUUCGGCGGUUGGGGAUGGACUCGCGGCUUAUCAGCUUGUUGGUGGGGUAGUGGCUUACCAAGGCUUUGACGGGUAGCCGGCCUGAGAGGGUGACCGGCCACAUUGCGACUGAGAUACGGCGCAGACUCCUACGGGCGGCAGCAGUGGGGAAUACUGCAACAUGGGCGGAAGCCUGAUGCAGCAACGCCGCGUGCGGGAUGACGGCCUUCGGGUUGUACACCGCUUUCGCCUGUGACGAAGCGUGAGUGACGGUAAUGGGUAAAGAAGCAACGGCUAACUACGUG
RNAcentral lists this ribosomal RNA (468 nucleotides) under uncultured bacterium. RNAcentral's name for it is "partial 16S ribosomal RNA". It matches the Rfam family "Bacterial small subunit ribosomal RNA", at positions 28 to 507 of the family's 1533-position model. The record is from RNAcentral.